UAGAACUGCACCAGCAUCAAUAAGCUCUCCAUCAAACUCAAGGGCUUCUGAACAGCUUGAUAUAGCAUCCUUCCCCCUACCAAGCCUCACCAAGACUAUACACAAACCAAGAUGAAGAUUUACAUUAUGUGCAGAAUGGUUGGGGUCCAACGCCAGGGCUGCUUUGAUAUAGCAACAGAUAAAGGUCUGCACUUACAGCUUGUAUGGAUGGUUGUUACCUAUUGUAUUGUAUUGUUAGUAUAAAUACAACAUUUUAUUUUAAAGACAACUCCAUAUCUAGGAGUUGACUCUAAUUAAGAAUUAAAGAAUACUUGCCGUUCUCAACCAAUAAUCAUUGUUGGUUGAUUUGUCUAUUGUGAUUUCUGCAAUCACCAACAAAAAUCUUUCUAGUUGGAAUAUGAACUCAAUUGCUAAAGAACUACAGGAGGAUAAUCAUAAUUGAUACAAAUGGUGAAACAAGAGGGCUAAUUUAGUUGUAACAUCAUUGGUCAGAAUCAAAAAUAUAUUAGAACAGCUAAUGAUAAUGUAAAUGCAAUAUAACAAGGAUUAUAUAUCAAUUAGUUGGUUAUUAGGAUUAGGUAUGAUUUUUGCAACAACAAUGCAUGACAAGAUAACUCAACCAAAAUUUAGCGGCUAGAGGUGGAAAUAUUCAGAAAUUUGUCCCUCUGGCAGUGAGACAUUACAACUAUGCCUCGAUUCCAAACAAAUUACUACUCUGCUACUGCCAGAAUUCCUGUGUGAAGCCCCAUCAGUGUUACAACAUAACCCAAGGAUCACCUGGAAGAUUUGAGUCCAUUGCACUUUUGUGUACUUCAACCUUGGCAUAUAGGACUCGAGGGAAAAUUGACAUCUUCCUGGAUUGUAGGCAUAUCAUUAAGCAUAGGAGGAAAUCUCAAGUUAUGGAGAUCACCGAGAGUAGAAUUAACCAAUAAAAUGAUAUGUUGUGCAGUACGAUCAUCUGGACCAGCUAACAUAAAUUAAGCUAGGAGCCGUUCCACUGAUCUACAGCUGAAGAAUCAACAGUGUACUAGUUGUAAACUAGUCGUAAUUACUAUGUACUAUUAGUCAAACAACAAUAAGUAAUCAAUCAGUUGUUAGCAAAGUAAAUGGCGCGCUUCUCUAAGGACAUGAAAUAAAUAAACUGACGGCUUCGAUAAAUACAUUCAGAACCCAAAAUUUAGCAGCAAUAAAUAAAUUCAUUAAAAUGAAAGGUUGUUACAUAAUCUUCGACAUAAGAAAAAGAAAGAAAGCAUAUGCAAGUACUAAGUAAGUGAAUUAGGUGAGAUGAAACUCUCCGCAUAAACAAUUCCACGCUUAGUGAUAUUACAUUUAGGGCAUGAUUUAAAUGGUCCUCUAGAUGUCGUGAAUAUAGAAUUACAACAUCUGUUACCUUUGCACUGUAGUAACACUUCACAAUCUGCAAACAUAUAUUUUGGUCUGGCUGAAUGGAAAAGAUUAGUAUCUCGUAUUUCAAUCAACUUAAUCCAAGAUUCCCUGACACCAUAGUCUUUCAUUAUCCACAACUUAAAAGUGCCGAUCCUGCCCUCCGUCCAAUGAUUAUGUGUAGAAUAAAAGCAAAGCAUUCCUCUCAAUACUGAAACACCAUGGUCGAUGAUGUAGUAGCGGGGGCUUACACCAAACAUUUGCUCCAAUAACGGUACCUCCCCAUACACCUCAUUUGAAAUAUUAAAUGAAACGGUAGUAUAAUAUCCAGAGCAUGACAUAGCAAGCCAAUGAAAUGCUCCAUGUAGAAAUGCCAAAUAAUCCAUACCACUAUCCAUAAAACCCCUAACAGGCUUAGGCUUAAUGCCAGUAGGAUAACCAAUUCUUCUCCAGGAACCACUCUUUAGAGAGAAUAAUUGAAUCGAAGUAUAAGAACUAUCAAUUGCAUUCAGGCUAAUUGCAAGGAUCUUAUAGUCUUCACUAGUUGCAUCAUAUUUCAAUCCACAUACACAAGUCCUCACUGGAAAUUCUGGAUGGGGAAGUAGUCUGGAUUCUCUUGUGGACGGGUUCCACAACACAAGUUCCUCAUAAUAUCCUCCAGAAGAAACAAGAGUAAGAACCAAUCCAUCACAAGAACAAAAUAUUAAGGCAAUCUUUGGUUUGCAGCUUGAAGGCCAAUCAAGCUUUUGUUUAUCCUCACGCAUCGAUAAAGAACAAGUAUAGAAGUCAAAAUCCUUCAUAAAUAACCUUUCGAUGGUAAGAAGUUUUUGGGAAUUUUGGUCAUCCCUGUUAUGAAUAUAAUGUGUCCUCCUAAAGUAAGGAUCAUUAAUUAAUGACUUCCAAAAUUUUGAAACACAUUUGAACCGAAGAAGAGACCGCACAGGUAACGUGCGGAGGAUGUCCAUCAUUAUUUCCUCUUGGAAAUGAAUUCUUGUGACCUACCUAUACAUGGAGUAUAUCAAAAUGAAGAAUAAAUAUAAAAAAAGAAAGCUACAACAACUAGAGUUAGUUCAAGCACAAUGGUAGUUUUUAGAACUUAUGAGAUUUUUAUGUUCAAAUUGUAUGGCCAAAUAAAACAUGUGAUAUAAUUCAGAUAAAAGAAUUGAAGUGAGAAGUGACCUGAUGAAUCUCCAUCUGGUGUGUAUUAUCAUUUGAAAUGCUCUUCCCUGAAAUUCAGCCAUUAAAACACACACAUAGCAGAAAGAAAGAAAGGAGGUAAGAAAGACGGGAUACCUUUGCAAAUUUGAUUCUUCUUCUUCUUGUGUUGGCAUCUGGAAAGAUUGAAUUUUCGGGUAGAUUCUUCUUCUCCAUUGCUAAUCUGAUCAAACUUUUCUGUGUUGGUAAUAAUAAUAUUAGGUUUUAGAAUGGAUUUCUUCGCUUUUCUAUUUGCUAAAUUUCCAUGGCCAUGGGAGGCUGCACACUUCUUCUUUUGUGCCAUCUCAAAUGCUAGCGUUUCUGGUGCCAAUUUAGGCGCCCCAAUAUUACAAUCUUAAAUAUAUAUUCUAAGUAUUUAUGAGAAAAUGCCACAAGUGGUUUUUGAACUACCGGACUACCUCUAAAAUAGUCUUUAACUAUACAUUUAUCAUACUCCCUCCGUUUCACAAAGAAUGAUCUGGUUUGACUUGGCACAGAGUUUAAAUAAAUAAAAAAAACUUUUGAAUCUUGUGAUCCUAAAUUAAAGUUAAGUCAAAUGUACAAAAUUGCCCUUAAUCUUGUGGUCUUAAACAUGCCACGUGGAAAGCAAAAAGUAAAUUGUUACCAAAAAAGGAAAGAAGUCAUUCUUUUUUGAAACUGACUAAAAAGAAAAGGAGGUCAUUCUUUGUGAAACGGAGGGAGUAUUUAUUAAUCUCAAAUCUUAUUAAAUUUGGUCUCUUAAAAUACACUUAGCGAAUUUAGAUCUUUAACUAUUUUAACUUUUGUCAGAUUUAGUCCUUUAACUAUACACUUGUCGGUUUUACUUCUACUUUAAGUAUUUAAAAACUCAUCAGUAUGUUUAUUUUUUUUAAUACAAAUAUUGUAUGUUUACAUUAACAGAAUUCAUGUCUCCAUGGAAUUAAAUUCUCAACCCAUUUUUUCAGUUAUUUCUUUUUCCCACUGCUUUCUUUUUUAUUAUUAUUUUUAUAAAAUCAAACAAUAACUUACUUGUUAUACGUAUCAAAUUUGGGUAUUUAUCAAAAAAAAAUCUUCUUCCUGUUAUAUUCUCUAUUUAGAUUUCUAUAUGCAUGUCAAUAAUUAUUGUAUGAUUAUUCACAUCUAUUUUGUAAUUAUAAUAUUUACACAUUUUUUGUUUUGACGCACAUUAGGUGUUUAAAGAAAUGUGUGACUAGAAAGUUAGAUUUUAUUUGCUCAGUUUCAGUAGUAGAAUUAAUUUGAUUUUAUUUUUUUGGGAAAAUUUCAGAGAUCACAUACUUUUAAGGUAAAAUUACAAUAUAUCCCUUAAAAGUUUAUAAUUACAAAAAUCCCUCAAAUUGAUACAAUAAUAUAAGCAUUGACAUAUUAAUCUGUUGCGCGAGAUACAUUAAUCGUUAAGUAAGAUACAUUACAUUUUAUACAUGAUACACUAAUCUGAUGUACAUUUUAUACAUGAUACACUAAUAUGAUGCGCGAGAUACAUUAAUAUGAUGCACUGAUACAUUAAUUUGAUGUGCGAGAUACACUAAUUUGAUGCAUGAAAAUGAGAGGUUUUGGAGAUUUGUAAAACUUAUAGGGAAUAAUGGUAAUAAGUAAACUAAAAGGUGGGAUUUCUGUAAUUUUUCCUAUUUUGUUUUUUGCUAAUGAGAAUGAAUAAGACGUUCAUAAGAUUGUCCACGUGGGUUGAUCCAUUUGUGAAGAUAUUCUAUUAUAAUUCUUAACUUCCGACUUUUGGCUUGUAAGUCAUAAGUUACAAGCCCAUCCAACUAGAAACGCAAAAUUUGACCAAUAAUAGAUCACUUAAUUUUCACUUCCACUCAAAAUUCUUAAUUGUGCUAAAAAUUAAAAAAUCAAUAUUAAUUUUCAAACUUGAUUGAAAAAAUAGAUUAUUUUUUUUUCGAACAAAAAAAAUUUAGGGGUAGGUUGGUGGAAGGGGCGGGGCACCUUGGGGUGGGGGUACCUGAAAACAGUUUUUUUUUUUUUUGGAAAACUAAAAAAAUUUAGGGGUCAGUUGGUGGAAGGUGGGCGGGGAUGGGGAGGGGUUAAAUUUAUUUUUAUUUUUACAAAAAAACAGAUUUUUUUUUGUUUUUGGAAAAAAAAAAUUAGGGGUAGGUUGGUGGAAGGUGGAGGGGGGGGGUGCCUGGGGAGGGGGUAAUUAUUUUUUUUGAAAAACAGAUUUUUUAAAAUGGGUUAGAACCAUUUUACCCAAACCAUAUUUGACGAAAUCCAUAUUUACCCAUAUUCUAUUUGGGUUGAAUUGUAAUCCAAACCAUUUUUGUUCAAUCUAUAUUCAAUCCAUCCAAAUCCGAUCCAACCCAACCAUUUGCCACCCCUACUUCCACUAUGCCUUAUUGUCUUUGAUUUGUUUGUAGAAUUUUUUGCUCUACGUCUUAAUUUCAGAUUCAUGAACUCCAAACAACAAUUAAGUGAUUCAGAUAAUAAUAAAGUAGAAUAUUCAUCGAAAAUAAGGCACAAUUUUAGCAAAAUAGAUUUGCAAGUCUAUUCAUUUUACCCCUAGCAAAAUAGUGAAUGAAUAAGGAAAGUAGGUAUAUGUGAACCGAGGGAAGUCACCCGAUUUCGUGAUGUGCAUAGUCCAUAGGUGAUGGCAGAUUGGAUGAGGAGAUGUUUCAAAAGCAUAGUAAGUAGACAAUAUCUCUCAGCCUAAUAGUGAAGAAGUUUUUGCCUAUAUUGUUAGGAAGAAAUUGAGAUAGGCAAAGCAAAGCACUAUAUAGAUAAUUCAAAACAAUAAUAUACAUUUACUAGAUCGACACCAUCAUUACAAAAUAAUAGUGGUUGACAUAACACUCUGUAUGUAUUAAUUUCAAAUUUCUGAAUCAACUUCUGCGUGACGACGUCACACCAUGGUGUUCAAUCAUUCUCUCUUGAAGUGACUAUAGUGUCUUGUAUCACUUGACUCUCUUGUUUAAAUUUCUUGUAUAGCAUAAAUUUUUCUUCUCAACACCAAAAUCAAUGAACAAUGGUACCUACAAAUGUAGCACCACUAAUUAUUAAAAAUGCUUGUUUAUAACAUUGUACCCCAACACAAUUCAAAUCUUCUCCAUUUUUUCUAGUGAAAAAUCCAUUAGCUUCUAAUUGUUUCAAUGCUUCUUUAUCAUAUAAAUGACCAGCAACUCUCACAUUGACUAUAUAUCCACCUAUAGGACUAGCCACAGAGCCAAAACUAUACAAAGUGGCAUAGUACUUUAGUCCAAAUAAUUCCAAAAUUAUCCACAAAAUCAAUGGUCAUUGAGCUCCAAAACAAAACCCCAUGAGAACAGAGGACACGUAGAGUGAAUUUCGAACACCAAAUGCAAUGAGAAGAUGGCUAAUGCACGAGAGUAGGAGCACGAAAGUGAGCAUCAAGGGACACGAAAAAUUGUAUUUGUCUAACAAGAUUUCCGAGGCAAAUCCUGAGGAUACUCUUCCAAGGUAAUUCCAUAUGCUCACUAAUGACACGAAUGUACUGAUGCUUGAGUCAGGGUAACCUAAGGCCUUCCCAAAUUGACCUAAGUUAUCGAUCGAUGUCAAUGUCCCUCCAACCCCAAACUUUGUAGCUACAAAUAGAAUCAACAUGUCAAUGUUGAAGAACGCUUGCAAGAUUGUGUGAUCUUCACCUCUUUCAAGUGGAUUAAGCGCGCUCUUAAAGCACAAACUCCAAUUUGUUUUCGAUAAAGGGGAUUAUCCACUUGAUUGACGCAUUCAAUUGUGAAAUGUCACUAGAGACUAGUCCUCUUUUGCUCUUCCAAAUGUUAAAUUCUUCUCUAAUGACUAAAACCAAUGGUGAGAAUAUUAGAACUAGAACAACAACACCACUUAUCUAUAAAGCAUAAAACACAUACCGAUAGCAACAUUCAGAGGACACUUUUGUUCACCUUUAGCUUGGAGAGCAUAAAACCUAUUCUGCUUUGGAGCAUUCGCAUCCGAACCACUAGGAUGAACUUGCUUACCCUUUCUUUCCUUAGCCUUCAUCUUUGGACAAUUCCUCAUUUUGUGGCCAUUUUCACCACAACUAAGGCAACCCUCCAUACCGGCUAAACACCUAUCAUCAUGUCUCAUUCCACAUCUAGCACAAGUAAGCCAUAGGGAUUCACUACUAAUUCCUUACGGUUUAGGGUAGACACCCUAUCUUCACUAUACUUAGGAGCAUUGGAGGAGUCUUGUCUGGAAAAACCUUUGUCGAUGCUUAGGGCAACCAUGUCCAUCGGACCUUACAUGAGGGGAAUUAUCAUCAGAAUGAGUCAUAAGACAAGCAAUAUCCAUGUCACCAAUGAUCACAGCGGUACGACAUUCUUUCACUACUAAAUCGGACACUCCCGACACAAACUUACUAAUUCUCGACCUAGAGUCAGCCACUAAAGAUGGAGUAUACUUAGACAAUUGAGUAAACCUCAAUGCAUAUUCCUUAACACUCAUAUUACCUUGCCUAAGGUUAAUAAACUCAAGCACCAAAGCCUCUAUCAUCUCAAGAGGGAAGAACCUAUCAAGAAAAGUUGUUUUGAACCUUUUCCAUUCUAUGGGGCCCAUUCCUACCGGUGUAGCUUAUGUCCAUUGAUUGAACCAAACUUGAGCAACUUAUCUGAGUUAGUAAGCGGCCAAUUCCGCCUUCUCCGCCGGAGUAACCCCCAUAAUGUCUAACACUUUAUUGACCUCAUUUAUGAAUUCUUGAGAAUCAUCCUCAAGCUUUAUACCAUAAAAUUCCAGAGGGUUCAUCCUCAUAAAAUCCCUCACUCUUAACGCCGUCGUACUCACAUUUGGGUUCAUGGGACCUAUCACUUCCCUAUUGGCUUGGGUCGUCACGACUUGAGCCAACACUUGAAAAGUGAGCCUGAACUCCGCAUUAGUCACAUUCUAAGACAUAGGGUCAAUUAGAGCUUGGGGAGGAACUUCUUGAUCCAUGUUGUCUUCUUCAUUCCUUCUAGCAUUAGCGCUUGUAGUAGUCAUAUCCUAUAUACCAUCGGGUAAGGAUUAGGAGAAAGACCUUAUAGAGUUAAACUCUAUGGCACGACUUAGUGAAAUGAAGAAGUGAAGUUUCCUAAGCAUCUAGUAGCCUCUCAUUCAUAAAUGUGGCGCGCUUCACACUCAUGAACAAGACUCUACUUGACAUGGUUUUGAUACAUCCUAGAACCAUUCUAAACCUUAUGCUCUGAUUACCAAGUUUGUCACGACCCAGGGGUACACCCUAGACGUAACUUAGCGUAUAAGACUACGAAAAAACUCAUACAAGAAACUUAGCAUAUCAUUACAUAAGAUAAUGGAAAAUGGUGCGGAAAUUUAAAAUAUUUGUUCUUAACAUCAAAGUUUCAUAAAACGAAGGGGAAGUCUAUUACACUUGUCUCAAGCCAUCUAAUACUUGAAAGUCUUAGGGACACAGCCCAUACAAUAGUUCAACACAUAAAAUAAAGUCACAAAGAAAAGGUGGCCAAAUCCUCGAUGCUAUGAGGACUCACCAAAUCUUCACUCCUUGCUCUACUAUGAACCUAGCCACGAAGAUGGAAGUCAAUAUCGUCGAACCCUACAUUUGGUAAGAAUGUAGGCAAGAGUAUAUGUUAGUACAAAUAUGUACUAAAUAUGAUGGCUAGUAUAAAUUAUCAACAUAAGCAUAACAUAGGCAUUAGUCAACAUAAGACGUAAACCAUAAUCAUAAGAGGUAAUAACAUAAGUCAUAAGCAUAUUCAAUGAACAUAAACCAUCAUAUCAUAAUAGGAACACUUCUCAAGUAACCUCAACUUAUUCUUACUCAAGACUUGGGUCAUCACCUCUAUUCAUACAUAUCAAGAAAGGCAACUCAAGCAACAAUCCAAGCAAAUCUAUCAUCAUACAAGUAAUCUCGUCAAAACAUACUUACAAUACUUCCUUGAAGUAAUCUAGUUUCAUCAUAAAUAUGCUACUUUGAUUAGGGAUUAGUCCCUCAUAUUCAUAUUAUUCAUGGAAGAGUAUCUCUCUACUAGUACAAGAUAAAUCAUUACUCAUGAAUGGUUACAAUUUACAAAUUCAAGGCUACCAAGGAAAAUCAACUCAUCAUGCUAGACCAAGUUAUCAUGGAAAACAUCCUCUCAUGCAAGUCCAAGCUACUCAAGGAAGGGUACUAUUGCUCAAUCCAAGCUACCAUGAAAUGGUGUGGCCUCACCAAGUCAUGCAAUCAUUCUAUUAUGCUAGUCCAAGCUAGCCUUUGAAAGGGUACGAUUUCUCAAUCCGACGCUAUUCAUGAGAUCUACUACUCAAGCUACCAUGCAUGGUCUUGUCUUACCAAGUCAAGCUAUUCAUGAAGAGAUAUCAUAUCACUACUUCAAGGUAUCAUAGUUCAUACAUGCUUUGAUUCAUCUUAGGUGAGCAAACCUUUCUACCUAGAAUCAUUCUAUGUAAGUAAACCUUUCACAUUAUUCUUUCAUACAUACAUAAUAUAGGUCAUGUGGGUAAAUCCUUCCACAACAACUAUAUCUACAAUUCAACAAUCAUAAAAGCUUCAUUCUCAAAGCCUUAACAUUCAUAGUUCAUCAUAUUAGCUUUACUCUCAAAGCCCUAGCAAUCAACAUUCAUAACUAUAAGCCUUACUCUCAAAGCAAUACUUCUCAUAAUCAUCACAUAUGCCUAGAUCUCAAGAUAUUCUAAUCACAUGUUUUAUUCUUAAGCAAUUCUAAUCAUAUAUCAUCAUAUAGGCUCAAUCUCAAGCACCACUAAUCAUGAUUCAUCAUGUAUACUUUAAUCUAAUUCAAUUCAUGUAUAUAUGCUCGACUCUCAAGCAAUCUAUAAUGCAUAUCAUCAACCUUAGAAGAUCACAUCUAAAUCCUCAAUUUCCCCUUGCAUGGCAUAAACCCAAUUUCAUCAAUUCUAGGUUAGAAAUAAGGUUAGGCAUGGAUACAUGUAAAUUCAUACUAUAAACAUGUAAUUUUAUCAAUUUAAUCAUAAACAACAACAAUCCAUUCAAUUGGAUCAUAACCCAUAACAUUAGAAGAAACUCUAACUAGAAUUGAAUUAUUCUUCUAAAUUGGGGAAAUCAUGGGGCUCCAUGAAUGAAAGGUUCCAUGGAUGAAUAAUCCAUCAUACCUUGACUACAAAGUCUACCAAUCUAGGAAGAAUGGAGACUUGACCUGACCUUGCUUGAACCAUCUUCUUCGUCUUCAACUUUCUAGAGAGAGAAUUAUUUGAGAAAGGAACCCAAUUCUUUUGGUAAGUUGAGAGAAUGACUUGAAUAACUUAAUUUAGGGGUCUAAAGUACUUUAGAUAGGUGGUUUAGGUUAGGGUAAAACUACACCACUUAAUUUUAAUUAAAUCCGGAAAGGACCCUUGUGACCCUAAAAUAACCGUCCAGUCACUAACCACGAAACUACGUCGACGGGCCAUGGAUGGACCUACGCCAACGGGGAGUUGUUGGCCCUCGUGGAUGACACUUGGGAGUCCUAAAAUCCGUUAAGAUUCCUUCUUUCGGCUACGGGGAGUUACAAGUGGAAGAUGGAGGAAGAGAGAUGGAAGAGUCCCAAAUAGUAUUUGAAAUUCAAGGGUUUUAUUUGGCUUUGGCUUGCUUCACCCUCGAUUGUUGAACCGGAUGAACUAGAAGUUGAACUGAUGUUUGACCCCCACAUUUUUACCAGAUUGUUGGAGGGGAUAUCUAUGGAUACAGGGGGGGUUCUGACUGGUGGGAGAUGAAGGGGGAUAGAUGGAAAAGUCCAAAAAAGUAUCUGAAAAUUCAAGGGGUUUUGUUUAGCUUUGGCUUGCUUGAUCUUCGAUUGUUGAUCUGAAAAUUCAAGGGGUUUUCUCAUUAGCAUAAUUUUACUUGUAUUCUAAUUUUUAAAUUAAAAUAAAAUUUAUUGUUAAGUAAGGUUAUAGACUUACGUUUUCUUUAUUAAGAAAAAAUAAAAAUAAAUCAUAUUUAUUGCUAUGUUGAAAUUUGUUAUAAGAGUAUUAUGUUAAAUUUAUUGUUUUGAAUAUAUAACUUAUGUUAUAUUUUCAGUUUCAUUUGUUUUAGUAAUAUUGAAUUGACAUUGCACGUCAUUUUUUAAUUAAACUUGAUAGAUUAUAUUUUUGUCAAACAUUUAACAUUUUAUGACAUUUUAUUUAUAUAUUAUUUUUUUAUCAAACAUGCAUUUCACAAUGUUCGUAGAAACUUCAUACUUUUAGUUGUUACGAUCAAUUCAAUUGAAAUAUAUUAAUUUUAAAAAUAUAAAUCAAUUAUUUUUUCAUAAUAUUAGUUACAGAAAAUAUGUUUAUUAAUUAAUAUAUUUUACAAAAAAAUAUAUAUAUCUUAAAUAUUUUAAUUUAAUGUCAUUUAUAAAGUUUCUUAUUUGUAUAGUAUAAAUUUUAGAUAAUUAAUUUUUAUUUUUAAAAUUUAUUAUAAUUUUUAUGAUUGCAAUUGUGCAUCCAAACAGAACAUGUGUAAUUACACUAUUGGCAUCCAAACAGGACAUGUGUAAUUAUAGUGUAAUUACACUGUGGCAACCAAACAUGUUAGUGUAAUUACUAGACAGUGUAAUUACUAGGCUGAUAAUUACUACCCUAGUAAUUACACCAAUUUCCAAUUACCAAGUGGCUUUCCAAACACACCCUCUGCCGCCAACAAUUUAGAGAAAUCACGCGUACAGUACAAACCCAAUUUAAUUGGGUUUUGUUUUCCUAAUUUGUCUUGAACUCAAUUAUUUUAUUUAGGGUGGAUUUCUCUAUCUAUAAACAGGGGAUGAAAAAUUAUUCUCUGGAGAGCGAAGAACCAAAAAACAAUACACAAUAUAAAUUUUCUUCUAGCUCAGGAACUUUGGAAGAGCCGCCGUUGAGGCCAGAGAAUUGUGGUUCAUUCUUUCUUCUCCUUUAUUAUUUAUUUGUAUUCGUGAUUAAUAAAAGAUAGUUUAGUUAUUGUUCUUAAAUUUUUAUGAUUAACACAAGCAUAUUUAUUUUAAUAAAUUUUGAUUGUGUUUUUGAGAUAAUGAGUAGAUAAAUUUCAUAACUAGGGUUGUGGAAAUCAUGAGCGAUUAACAAAGUAUGAAUAAUAACUAUGCAAUUCUUGAAUAGUGUUGAUGCAUGCAUUGGUAAUUAUUUCUCUUAGAAGUCUUUUUAACGAGUGCACGCAUUAGAACUCGCUUUGUUGCUACUUGCCGAACCAAGGAGGUAGUUAAUAAGAAAAGAAUUAUCAAUAAAGAUUUUGUGUGAUACUAUCUAAUAAUCUACUGUCAAUUGGUGCGAGGGUGAAAACUAAGUCAUACAUUGAUGUGAUGUCUAAUCUGAGGUAAAUGUAAGGGUUAGUAAAUUACACGCACGUAGCCGGACCAAGGUGCGGGGUGAAAUUUCCUAUUUGGCGGACCAAACACUUAGGGAUACAUAUCUUACUACUUUGCAUGUGAUACACUAGGAUAUGAUUUCUAUUAUUAGGAUUACCGCGUUAUGAGUUUAUAGGGAACACAUUCCUAGUUAUUUCUAAUAAUCUGAAUAUAAAUAAAUACUUAGUUCAAAGCUAUUUUUAUUGUUUUAAUUAUUUUUUUUCAAAUUUAAAUCCCCCCAUUUUUAUAUAAUGACUAUCGAGUUAAAUAUUUGCUAUUGACAAUAUUGUUCCAUAUUCUUUGUGGAAUCGACCUCGACUCAUAGUUGGGUAAAUAUAUUACAUAUCGUUUAUAUUUUUUUUCAAGAAGUAUAUUUGGACGUUAUCAAGAAUGGUGCCGCUACGGGGGAAUGUGGCUUAGAAAUUGUCUUUAGUAUUUAUUUUGACUUGUAGUCCUUUUAUGUUUCUUAGGAUUAGUUUUAAAUUUGUUUUUUUCAGUAUCAUAUUUCUUUUACUCUUCUUGAGAUGUCAUCUGAAAAAGUAUGUAGUGAUAAGUGUUCUUGCAAUUCUUGUACUUCUAAUAUUAUGGAUUCUUAUAGGUUAAUUUUUUCUCAACAAGAUAAGUUGUAUGGGGACUUGAGGAUUUGUUAAUACUUUGCUAUAAAUCAAUAUGUAAGCGCAUGCUCGAAGAAAUCUUUGAUUUUGAUCUCUAUUAUUUAGAUUGUGAGUUGAGUGCAAAGAUUAAAUCAUAUGACACCCAACAAUUUAGUAAUAAUAUGUGUGAGGAAGAAAAAAUACUUAUAAGUCAACUUGAAGAGUUAAAAGUUGAGGGCCAAUUGAUUGAUCAUACUUUUAUUAAUGGUGUCAUUGCUGAGAAGAGUACCCUAGAGUUAUGUAAUGAAGUAGAUAAUAUUAUUUUUAAAAACUCUAGUAUGUGUAAAUAUGAGGGUGUAAAUAAUAAUACAAUUCAUAAGUUAGGGCGCACUAGACCUCAUUCCAAUCAUUUUUUCACAUAAUGUUUAGAUGAUGAAAUAUUAAUCGAGCCAUCUAAGCCAAUAGAAGAGUGUAUGGGGUAGGAUCCAAUAAGUGCAUAAUGCGAUAUCUAUUGCUUAGGACCUUUAUUUUUGUACCACUACUCCUUGAGCGUAAUAGAAAAAUGAAUCAAAAUUAGAGGUGCAAUUCAUAUCUUCAAAGUGGAAGGAAAAAUAGUAAAAUUGAUGGUGUCGUGCAGCGACGUUAAAUUAAGCGCUUAUUGGGAGGCAACCCAAUUAGUAGUGUAACUUCUUAUUUUAUUUUUAUUUUAUUAGUAUCACCUUUUUUCUUUUCUUGUUUUUGCAGAUUAGGGGAAGUCUGCGUACCCAAAAUAAAAUUUAAAGUAAAGGA
Molecule: long non-coding RNA, 13198 nt
Filed under: Solanum tuberosum (potato)
Lineage: Eukaryota; Viridiplantae; Streptophyta; Magnoliopsida; Solanales; Solanaceae
Description: long non-coding RNA (STUB_LNC011257)
Source: RNAcentral